CAGUCGCCACGGGAAUACGUAGGUGGCAAGCGUUGUCCGGAAUUAUUGGGCGUAAAGGGCUCGCAGGCGGUUUCUUAAGUCUGAUGUGAAAGCCCCCGGCUCAACCUGGGAGGGUCAUUGGAAACUGGGAAACUUGAGUGCAGAAGAGGAGAGUGGAAUUCCACGUGUAGCGGUGAAAUGCGUAGAGAUGUGGAGGAACACCAGUGGCGAAGGCGACUCUCUGGUCUGUAACUGACGCUGAGGAGCGAAAGCGUGGGGAGCGAACAGGAUUAGAUACCCCGGUAGUCCCUGUCUCUUAUAC
Molecule: ribosomal RNA, 301 nt
Filed under: uncultured bacterium
Lineage: Bacteria
Description: partial 16S ribosomal RNA
Rfam family: Bacterial small subunit ribosomal RNA
Source: RNAcentral